This is a long non-coding RNA of Syzygium oleosum, 822 nucleotides long. RefSeq lists it as uncharacterized. The transcript is spliced from 2 exons. NCBI's taxonomy places the organism in Eukaryota, Viridiplantae, Streptophyta, Magnoliopsida, Myrtales, Myrtaceae. The record is from RefSeq and is a predicted model, not a curated record.
AAAUAAAUAAUUUCGAGUGCAAUUGGGAGCGCAUGUGACACGAAAAACAAAGAAGACUAAUUAAAAGCACUACACAAGAUCUGAAAAUUUUAGAUUUGCGGCGGCUGACCACCCCCUCUAAUCUCGCCACCAAUCACUCAUCCACAUGAUAUUUUUCAACCCCUUUUUUUUUAAAAGGCCCUUUUAUCACCGAAUAAAGAAAUAUCAAUUUAAAAUAUAUAGCUCGAACUCCGGAAAGCAAGCGUGUGAAAGCGGGAGAUCGUCGAAACAUGACAAAAAGGGAAAAUCAACUUCGAGCCAUUCCCGGGCGUUGCACCAACAUCAUCUUCUUCCCCCCACUUUCAUGCGCCAUUUGAGAUUAUAAUAAGAACAACACGAACACCGGUACGAGGGUAUCGCGCAGGAACACAAGGGCAGCAAUUUACGAGGAGAGACAUCAUCGGACGAACGAAAGAAAUGGAAGUUUUUUCAUCUGUAAUAUGCAGGUGAUGUUCAGACAGUUAGGAGAUAGGAAGAAUGAGAUUGGAUUCAAGCCAAGAUGCUAUCAUUUACAGAUAAUAAUCACAAGCGAAAAGAAGAACAGGAAAACCCCAGAAGGAAAAAAAGAAGUAAAACUAUAUUCGUGUGAUGUUCAUAUUUUUUUUUCUUUUUUUUUGGGAGGGAAACAUUAUGCAUGGGGAUUGUAUCACAUUCCUCAGCUACGUCCCUCUGCCAUCAUCGGUUCGAUCAUCUGUUCAUCGUAAUAUGCGUAAAAAUUCCCUACCUCCUGUUCUUGAUUUCUUAAACUGUCUUUAGAGAGAAUGGUGUUGGUGAUUAUAUCAA